AUAUAUAUAUAUACACACACACACAGUUACGUGUGUGUGUAUAUGUGUAUAU
RNAcentral lists this microRNA precursor (52 nucleotides) under Podarcis lilfordi (Lilford's wall lizard). The record is from RNAcentral. Lineage: Eukaryota; Metazoa; Chordata; Lepidosauria; Squamata; Lacertidae.